This 250-nucleotide ribosomal RNA is filed under the name uncultured prokaryote. RNAcentral's name for it is "partial 16S rRNA". It matches the Rfam family "Bacterial small subunit ribosomal RNA", at positions 525 to 775 of the family's 1533-position model. The record is from RNAcentral.
ACGUAGGUGGCGAGCGUUGUCCGGAAUUAUUGGGCGUAAAGCGCGCGCAGGUGGUUAUACAAGUCUCAUUUGAAAGUGCUGAGCUCAACUGAGAGAUGGGUUUGAAACUGUACGACUUGAGUGCAGGAGGGGUAGGCGGAAUUCCUAGUGUAGCGGUGAAAUGCGUAGAUAUUAGGAGGAACACCAGUGGCGAAGGCGGCCUACUGGACUGCUACUGACGCUGAGGCGCGAAAGCCAGGGGAGCAAACGG